Non-coding RNA from Ameiurus melas (black bullhead), 72 nucleotides. The record is from the annotation of a GenBank genome assembly. Lineage: Eukaryota; Metazoa; Chordata; Actinopteri; Siluriformes; Ictaluridae.
GAAUAUAUAAUUAGUGGUUAGCACGUUUGCCUCACACCUCCAGGGUCCGGGGUUCGAGUCCAUGUGUGUGCG